GUGCUGUAGAACAAUGUGACUCAGUGGGUCUGUGGCGUUUGCCCCUUUGCGGAUGUUUAUUUUUCCUCCUCCCUAUCCAAAUCUCCCGAGUCCUUUCCUGCUCCGGCUUUCGUUAUGUUAUGACCACGGUGUACGAGUAUUUCUGUAAAACUCGGUUCGUAUUUUAUUUGUCGAACGCGUCGGGCCAGAGUUCAAAGGAUUGCGAGUGUAAGACAUCUGGCGUCGUUAUCGGUCGACGAUCAAGACGACCGCUUUUUGCGUUCAUACGGCUAAAGGCUCGGUCCGAAG
Molecule: non-coding RNA, 288 nt
Organism: Cinara cedri
Lineage: Eukaryota; Metazoa; Arthropoda; Insecta; Hemiptera; Aphididae
Source: the annotation of a GenBank genome assembly